RNAcentral lists this long non-coding RNA (3038 nucleotides) under Callithrix jacchus (white-tufted-ear marmoset). RNAcentral describes it as "lncRNA (ENSCJAG00000081713.1)". Lineage: Eukaryota; Metazoa; Chordata; Mammalia; Primates; Cebidae. The record is from RNAcentral.
GGAGGCUGUGCCAGGGUGUUCAGGCUCCCGUGAGCCCCCAAGGUGCAACCUUACCCCAGACUUGCAGAUGGGAAGAAAGCUCUGUUCAAGGUACCACUAUGCGAAGGGGGCAAAGCUGGAUUUGAACCCAGGUCCCUCUGGCUCUACAGCCUCCUACGCUGCAUGGGGAACCCUGAAGUGCCUCCUCCUCCCUGCCUGGGACUGUGAGCUAGGGGAUGGAGGUCUGCCCCGGGCAGUCAGAGACGAGAAUGCACAGGACAUGGUGGGGAGCCCACCCAGUGGAGUGGAAGGCCCAGGCUGGCCUUCUCCUUGCCAGCCUAGCCACUGCCCACUGUGCCCCAGGAAAGACUGCCCUGUCCUGGCCACCACAUCCUCGUCCUCAAAGGCACUGGAUGCUUCCCAAAUUCCAGGCAUUUUGGUGGCACCUGGAUUAUCACCUAUUUGUCUCUAAAUUAACUCACUUUUAAAGGACUUCAAUAAAUGCAUUUAUCAAGGAAGCUUUACAUCAUUACUGUACAUGGAAAACCAGGAGCACUUGCCAAAACCAGACAGUAAUGGCAAAGACAAAGAAAACAAAGCGCUAUCAGUAAAUUCUGGCAUGCUGAUGUCAACAGUCCUGAGUUUGAGACCUUCUCUCUAUUAAAAAGGGACAGUGACAAAUGUUAUAGUCAUUAAAGACACAUUAGCCUCAAACCAAGACCUUUUCCUUGAUAUAAUCAGACUUCAACAAAAACUGAAAAAGGCCCAAAUUGCAGUGUGAACAACAAUCCAGGGCUGGUUAUUUUGGGUUAUUUCAUUCCAAGUGAGUUAUUGCUGGGUCCCACCUAAUCCCCACUCCUGAGUACCCCUCAUCUCCCCUUGGUUCCCUCCAAAAUCCCCUCUGGAAGGACACCUCAUGGCAUCUUAGCAAGGCCCGGGAAGGUGUGGUGUGUUCCUUCCUUCCUUCAUUCAGCCAGUAGUUGUCAGCACCUCCUCUGUCCAGCCAGGGGUACAGGGGCUGCCACCAUGAGCUAUCCUGGCCUGAGGAUGCUUCCAGCUAAUGGGUAGAGGGGAGAAAUCAUAAGACGUGGAGGCAGAUCUGGGUUUGAAGUUUCCCCAUCUGUGAAAUGGGUUUGCUGACCCCAGCCUACUCAGCUGGCUGUAAGGUUGGUGUAAAAUCUGGUAGGGCAGUGCUGGGCACAGGACUCACUCUCACCCUCUGGUGGCUCCGCUAGUCACACUGGGGCUCAGGACAGGAGGUGGAGCCCUGGUCUUCUGUUGCAAUCCCCCCAUCCUACUCCCGGCUCUUGCAUGGGCUUUAGGGGCCAUGGUUCACUGACACAAGGGAGGGAGAAACUGGUGUUUGCCAAGAGUCUGUGUUGUGCUUGGCGCCUGUUAUGUUAUAUUCUCCAAGUCUCACGCUGUCCCAGGGGCAAGUGUCCUGCUAUAAUUGUCCUCAUUUUAUAGUUGAGGAAACUGAGGCUCAGAGAGGGCAAGUGCCUCGCACAAGACCACACAUCACUUGUCACCUCCAGUUGAUGCAAGGAUACUCAGACCCGAAUACACCUCACCUAGGCAGCUCCUAAACCCCACUGCUCAGCUUGGCGGGGAGCUUGUGGCCCAAGUGCCCAGGAUCAUCACCACAGGCGGGUCUAAGACGACACCUAGUAUUAUCCUCAAGGCUCAGUGUGGGGAGCUGCAGGGUGCGGCAUGAGGAGCCAGUUGAGCCGGAGACAGGAAGAGAGGAGGGGCUGGAGAGGGAGCCGGAGGUGGUGAGGGAUAGGGAGGGAGACAGAGAGAGACAGAGACAGAGACACACUUAGAGACAGACAGAGAGUGGAAUGGGGAGGAGCAAGAGACUGAGAAGGAGAGACAAAGAGAGUGAGCGGGAGGAGCAAGACAGACAGGAACAGAGAUGGGUGGGGGCAGGAGAGAGAGAUAAGGCAGAGAGACCAGCGGAUGGACAGGGGCGGGGCACAGAGGUUGUGAGCGGGGAGGAGGGGCAUGGAGGCGGGGCAUAGAGGCAGGCCCCAUGCACCCCUGCUAGGCUCUGCAGUUGGCUCCCACGGAUAGCACGGUGUGUUCCCUCUCCACUCAGAGAGGGAGGCAGGGACACAGUCCCACGGGCAGUCCCACGAGUGGCUCUUGGCGGGUGGAUGGGCCUGCUAGGGGGCCUCCAAUUUCCUGCAGCUCAGCACUCCUGGCCAUCAAAGCAGUGGCCAGACUGGGGGUGAGGGGUCUGGAACAAGGCAGGCAGGAUGGCAGGAAGGCGAGGGUGUUGAGGGAAGUGGAAGGCGGCUGCAGGCCCAGCCUUUCCUGCUUGCCCCAUGGCGCACAGACACCCCUGCCCUUCCUUCCUGGUUGGGUGGGAAAGAGGAAAAUGAGGCCCACUACUCUCAGAGUGAGGCCCGCAGGGAACCCUGUGUGUGGCAGCUGUAGGUCUGACGGGAGGCCCCAUUCUGAGAGGUUGGAGCCGACGGGCUUUUGCUUUCAAACUCUGAUGCUCUGCUCCUCACGAGCUGUGCAUCUUGGGCCAGUCCCUUCCCCUCAGCCUUGGUUUCCAUAUCCGGAAGAUGGGUUACCCAUAGCGCCAGCCUCAGGGGGAUCUGUGAGGAAAAAGAGAGCCCGUACAUGGCAAGUUCUUGGCACAGUGUCUGGCACUGGCUAGCCCUGUGAGCACUCCCGUGAGGUAGCCGUGGCGCACGGUCCUCACAGGGCUGCGACCUUGGAGCCUUGGCUGCCUGCCCCUGACGUCAGUGCCCACCUGCUGCUUCUGCGGUCAAGAACCCUGCCCAGGGCCGCCUUGUGUGGGGCUAAUCUUCCAAGAAGCCUGUGAGAAUGUUGGGGAAAGUGCCCUGUAGGGGUGCCAGGGGUGGGGGCGCAGCAGCCCACCACACUGGAGGUGUAGCUGAGUCUCCACGGGAGGCAACUGCAGGCUCCACGACCAAGGCCUUGCUCUGGCUGGCGGCCGCGGGGCACUUGCCGGAACUAUUUCCUCUCUCCAUGAUUUCCUCAUUUAUGUCUGACCCCUGAGCACUGGUCCCUCUGGCUUUGCCACU